UCUGGUUGAUCCUGCCAGUAGUCAUACGCUUGUCUCAAAGAUUAAGCCAUGCAUGUCUAAGUAUAAAGGUUACAUACAAUGAAACUGCGAAUGGCUCAUUCAAACAGUUAUAGUUUAUUUGGAUUUACACAUUAGUUAAAUGGAUAACCGUAGUAAUUCUAGGGCUAAUACAUGCGUUACGGGGGACUUUACGGAACCCCAGUAUUUAUUAGAUUCAAACCAAUAUUCCGAAGGUCUACUUGAGAUGAUUCAUGAUAACUGAUCGAAUUGCUGGUCUACCGGCAAUAAGUCAUUCAUGUUUCUGCUUCCCAUCAGCUUGAUGGUAGUGUAUUGGACAACCAUGGCAUUCACGGGCUAUCGGGGGAUUAGGGUUCGAUUCCGGAGAGGGAGCCUGAGAAACGGCUACCACUUCUACGGAAGGCAGCAGGCGCGAAAAUUAUCCAAUCCUGAUUCAGGGAGGUAGUGAAACAAAUAAUGAACUAGGAUUUAUCCUGGGGUCACAAUGGGCUUGAUUUGCAAACUUUAUUUAGCGAGGAACAAUUGGAGGGCAAGUCUGGUGCCAGCAGCCGCGGUAAUUCCAGCUCCAAUAGUGUAUAUUAAUGUUCCUGCAGUUAUUCGAUGCUCGUAGUUGGAUUUCUGGAGGCUGAGAUCGGAGGGUAGCCAAGGUUACCGCUGAACUCUUCCUUCAUCCACCUGUUAACGUUGUCCGGGAUUCGUUUCUCGGCUUCGGGCUCAGGCAUAUACUUUUACCCUUUUUCUAUAUUUAUUGUUUGAGUAAAUUAUAGUGUUUCAGGCAGGCGUGCGCCGGAAUACUUUAGCAUGGAAUAAUCGAAUUGGACCGUGUAUUCUUAUUGAAUUCUUCCUUAUUGUUGGUUCAAGGACACGGAAAUGGUUAAUAGGGAUAGUGUUUUUAUUAUCAGGGGAGGCAUUAGUAUUUAAUUUCCAGAGGUGAAAUUCUUUGAAAUAUUAAAGACUAACUUAUGCGAAAGCAUUUAUUAUUGCCAAUAAUGUUUUCAUUAAUCAUUGAACGAAAGUUAGGGGAUCAAAGACGAUCAGAUACCGUCCUAGUCUUAACCAUAAACGUUGCCGACUAGGGAUCGGAGGGCGUGCACAUUCCGCCUUCGGCACCUUACGAGAAAUCAAAGUCUUUUGGGUUCUGGGGGUAGUAUGGUCGCAAGGCUGAAACUUAAAGGAAUUGACGGAAGGGCACCACCAGGAGUGGAGCUUGCGGCUCAAUUUGACUCAACACGGGAAAUCUUACCAGGUCCAGACAUAGCGAGGAUUGACAGAUUGAUAGCUCUUUCUUGAUUCUAUGGGUAUUUUUUAUAUAUUUUUGGUGGUGCAUGGCCGUUCUUAGUUGGUGGAGUGAUUUGUCUGGUUAAUUCCGUUAAACGAACGAGACCUCAGCCUGCUAAAUAGUUACCUGUCUUUUCAUUUUUAAUAAUUACGAGACUUGAUAACUUCUUAGAGGGACGUUGUGUGCAACCACAAGGAAGUUGAGGCAAUAACAGGUCUGUGAUGCCCUUAGAUGUCCUGGGCCGCACGCGUGCUA
This 1552-nucleotide ribosomal RNA is filed under the name metagenome. RNAcentral describes it as "SSU rRNA". It matches the Rfam family "Eukaryotic small subunit ribosomal RNA", at positions 1 to 1500 of the family's 1831-position model. The record is from RNAcentral.